AUUGAACGCUGGCGGCAGGCCUAACACAUGCAAGUCGAACGAGAGGCGGACGGGUGAGCAAUGUCUGGGAAACUGCCUGAUGGAGGGGGAUAACUACUGGACACGGUAGCCAAUACCGCAUACCAUCAGAUGUGCCCAGGUGGGAUUAGCUUGUGGGUGGGGUAACGGCUUACCAAGGCGACGAUCCCUAGCUGGUCUGAGAGGAUGACCAGCCACACGGGAACUGAGACACGGUCCAGACUCCUACGGGAGGCAGCAGUGGGGAAUAUUGCACAAUGGGCGCAAGCCUGAUGCAGCCAUGCCGCGUGUGUGAAGAAGGCCUUCGGGUUGUAAAGUACUUUCAGCGGGGAGGCGUUACCCACAGAAGAAGCACCGGCUAACUCCGUGCCAGCAGCCGCGGUAAUAC
This 406-nucleotide ribosomal RNA is filed under the name uncultured bacterium. Its description in RNAcentral is "partial 16S ribosomal RNA". It matches the Rfam family "Bacterial small subunit ribosomal RNA", at positions 30 to 526 of the family's 1533-position model. The record is from RNAcentral.